Long non-coding RNA from Felis catus (domestic cat), 1803 nucleotides. RefSeq lists it as uncharacterized. Lineage: Eukaryota; Metazoa; Chordata; Mammalia; Carnivora; Felidae. The transcript has 3 exons. The record is from RefSeq and is a predicted model, not a curated record.
CCCGCUCCAGGCAGGCCACCCCCUCCAGUGGGGCUCCCGAGUGUAUCGGUUGUGUCGCACGGAAGACGCGUGAACCCGAGACCUUCCUGUUUCCCCCGUGUCGAGGCCCGGAGUUACUUGGAAUUACUGAUCAUCUGUCUUCUGAGCUCCCAGCCUGUGGGGCUGUGACGUCACGGACGUGGGGGGAGGAGGAGGGCCUGGGCCCGGGUCCCCUCGACCCUCCCCACACGGUCCCCGUCGGGGAAGAGAACUGCCCGCCUCCAGCACACCCUGCAGGAACGCGGACGCGGGUGUGGCCACAGGCUGGCCGACCCCGGACCAAAGCCGUCUGCACCCGGAGGGGCCCCAGCGCUGACCUCCCCCCUCUCCCCUCAUUGUAACAGUAAAUGUCACACCCGGGGUGGAGAUCACAGCCAGGGCCCCCGCCUCCGCGCGCUCGCUCUUCACCCCUCUCCCGCCCACCUGUCCUGGGGUGAGCCCACCGUCCGUCCCGCCGCCUCCGGGAUGCGGGGCAGCAGCCCCAACUCAGCCGAGCCCGACGCUCCUGGUGGGCAGCGCGGGUCAGCUCCUGCUGCGGGGCGAGCCUAGGGUCCUGCUGGGCAGCAGGAGAGCGUCAGAACCUGAGGGUGUACCUGUGCUGUUGUUGCCUAGACGGGGAGCUCAGCCCCUACACGGAGGUAGGCGUGCAGAGGGUCAGUCCCAAAGCGCAGGUGAGCAAAUCCCUGGGGGGUCACAGAGGGAGGGCAGCUAGUUCACCAGGGGCAGGAACAGCAAGAAUCUCAGUGUGGGGAGUUCCAGCGUGUGGUCCCUCGUCUCUGACAAGCUUUCUUUGCUUAGGACAGCUCCUCUGGAAAUGUUUUUGGUAGCAUGCAAGUAAUUUUAGCAUUUAUUUUCUAACUAUUUCCGCGGUGUUUCCUGAGUUAGCAUGUAUCUGGCUGGCAUCGAGCUCGUCCCGUUCGGAGCGUUUCCUGCUUCCUCGCAGCUGGAAAGAACCUCGAGGGAAAUCUCUCAAGGAGAGUGUAACGGGCCCUGUGUGGGGGUCUCUCAGUGCAGCAGAGCAUGAAAUGAAGCCAAGCGCGGCUGGCGCUUUGACCCCAAGUUCCAGAGGAGCCCGUGGGGCUUGUGACCCUGAAGGUGAAGAAUGAACAUGUGUGGAAACGAGAAUCCAGCAUCGGAAGGAAGGAACCUCAUUCAGGCAGUUUUGCUACCAAGAGGCGCCUGGGCCCCGGGAGGCGCUGCUCCGGCUCCGCGAGCUGAGCCGCCAGUGGCUGAGCCCAGAAACACACACACGAAGGAGCAGAUCCUGGGGCUGCUGGUGCUGGAGCAGUUCCUGACCAUCCUGCCUGAGGAGCUCUAGGCCUGGGUGCGGGGACAGCACCCCGGGAGCGGAGAGGAGGCGAUGACUGUACUGUAAGGUCUGGAGUGGGAGCUGGACUGCAUGAGGCCGGCCAACAGGUGGGGGAAAAUGCAGUUGUCCAGAGGAAGAAUUUUUCCACCCAAAAGGCUACCGCUGGUCCCUUUGGAAAACACUGAAGUAAAGAACGGGGCGUCUUUCCAACGCAGGGAGACAAAGUGGGACGAAUCCAUUAGAGACGACACAACAGACACCACGAGGCUGACGUGGCUCCGAUGCCGUGGCGGCCGUGUAAGUGAACCCGAGUGUAAGCCCGUCAGUGCCUCCUCACUUUGCUGCUGCUCUGGUCCGCGGCCCUCCUCAGCUGCUGGGGGCCUUCCUGGCUGCCUCUGGCCUCGAGCCGCCUGAGUCAAUCCAGUUGUGCUUCAAUAAAGUCUUAAAAUGUUUAA